This 507-nucleotide ribosomal RNA is filed under the name uncultured bacterium. RNAcentral describes it as "partial 16S ribosomal RNA". It matches the Rfam family "Bacterial small subunit ribosomal RNA", at positions 28 to 507 of the family's 1533-position model. The record is from RNAcentral.
GACGAACGCUGGCGGCGUGCCUAAUACAUGCAAUCCAACCCUUCUUUCCUCCCCAGUGCUUGCACCCCAAUGGGAAGAGGAGUGGCGGGCGGGUGAGUAACCCGUGGGUAACCUACCCAUCAGAGGGGGAUAACACUUGGAAAAAGGGGCUUAUACCGCAUAACCGUUUAUUCCCCCUGGCAUAAAAGUUAAAGGCGCUUUCGGGUGUCGCUGAUGGAUGGACCCGCGGUGCAUUAGCUAGUUGGUGAGGUAACGGCUCACCAAGGCCACGAUGCAUAGCCGACCUGAGAGGGUGAUCGGCCACACUGGGACUGAGACACGGCCCAGACUCCUACGGGAGGCAGCAGUAGGGAAUCUUCGGCAAUGGACGAAAGUCUGACCGAGCAACGCCGCGUGAGUGAAGAAGGUUUUCGGAUCGUAAAACUCUGUUGUUAGAGAAGAACAAGGACGUUAGUAACUGAACGUCCCCUGACGGUAUCUAACCAGAAAGCCACGGCUAACUACGUG